CUCGUUCUAUCUUGCUGCAGAAUAGCACACUUCAGUAGCCCUUCAGAAAGCUGUCAGACUCCACCCUGGUGCUGCGUCCUUCUAAAUUAAAGCGAGAGGGAGACGCAGAGGACAAUGCAGGAGAAACGGCAUGGAAAGUCUCGGUCUCCAUGGUGUUCGGAGGAGCAGUAGCAGGUGUGGAUUGGACCUGUUUUUCUCCUGUUCUCAUCUCUGUCUCGAUCCUCCUCCAUCUUUCAUGCUGUUGAACUGGAUGGAUGUUGGUUCAUUGUGAGCGUCCCUCUGAUUCUCUCGCUGUGUUCCUCCCGCUGUCACAUCGAACAGGCCCAGCAGCAUCUGUCCACGUUCACUUUCAGUUCAUGGAAAAAGCAGCAUGAACCUUCUAUUAAACGUCUCCUUUUGCGUUCCACGCAAGAAAGAAAGUCCUGCGGGUUUGGACCGACAUGAAGCAUUACAGGGCUCUGGUGCUGGAGUCGGUUCAUCUGUAGGCAGGAGAGGAGCGUGUCAAAGCAUCAGCAGAUGGUGAACAGCAUCAAAAGAGCCGCUGCUGUCAUCAGAGAUCAGAGGCCGCGACACUGACCAAACGGCAUAAGUGAAGAGCAUGAGGAGUCAAACAAAGCUCGUUUUCUGAGACGUGCAGAUGGAGGGGUCAGAAUCUGGCAAAGACGGCUCGAAAACAUGGACCCGACCAUCAAAUAGAGACUUUGUGCCAUGACACCUUAUUUCAAUUCAGUAAAGAGGAUUUUGUUUCUUGGCAGAGUUGUAGAAAACCCUGUGUGCAUUUGCUCCCGGAAGUUGCAUAAAUCCGGCCAAUCAGAUGAGAGCUUGCCAGAUCAAGAAAGUGCUUUUCACUUUUCGUGUGCAGUAUGCAGUGAGCAGACUGUGUAUUUGAGACAGAGACAAUAUGACGCUUUAUAGAUAUUAUUUACCGUCUGUGGAGGGAUUAAGAAUAAAAGUGGUGAAAAUGAUUAUGUGAAAAGCUGAUGUGUUGAUAAAGUAGGAUUAACUUGUGUGUGGUGAACUUCUCUCACAUGCUGUCCUCUAACUGGACAGUUGUUUAAUCGCCACACAGAUCCUGUCAGUUAAAUGCUCAAAUGUUUUGUUUUAGUGCUUGUGAUUCCUCAUAAAAAUCAUAAAAAGUCAUAAAAAUCAUGAACUCUUUAAUGCAAACCUGCUAUGUUUUCCAUUCUGUCAGA
Long non-coding RNA from Cyprinus carpio carpio, 1193 nucleotides. NCBI's taxonomy places the organism in Eukaryota, Metazoa, Chordata, Actinopteri, Cypriniformes, Cyprinidae. The record is from Ensembl.